CCUACGGGUGGCAGCAGUAGGGGAUAUUGGACAAUGGGCGCAAGCCUGAUGCAGCGACACCGCGUGAGCGAAGAAGUAUUUCGGAAUGUAAAGCUCUAUCAGCAGGGAAGAAAAUGACGGUACCGGAAUAAGUAGCUACGGUUAAAUCCGUGCCAGCAGCCGGGGUAAUACGGAUGGAGAAAGCGUUAUCCGGAUUUAAUGGGUGUAAAGGGAGCGUAGGCGGGCCUGUAAGUAUGAUGGUAAAAUUUGGGGCUCAACCCCAAACGUGCUCUGGAAACUGCAGGGCUUGAGUGCCGGAGAGGCAGGCGGAAUUCCUAGUGUAGCGGUGAAAUGCGUAGAUAUUAGGAAGAACACCAGUGGCGAAGGCGGCCUGCUGGACGGUUACUGACGCUGAGGCUCGAAAGCGUGGGGAGCAAACAGGAUUAGAUACCCCUGUAGUC
This 440-nucleotide ribosomal RNA is filed under the name uncultured bacterium. Its description in RNAcentral is "partial 16S ribosomal RNA". It matches the Rfam family "Bacterial small subunit ribosomal RNA", at positions 338 to 795 of the family's 1533-position model. The record is from RNAcentral.